Molecule: ribosomal RNA, 468 nt
Filed under: uncultured bacterium
Lineage: Bacteria
Description: partial 16S ribosomal RNA
Rfam family: Bacterial small subunit ribosomal RNA
Source: RNAcentral
GACGAACGCUGGCGGCGUGCUUAACACAUGCAAGUCGAACGGAAAGGCCCUGCUUUUGUGGGGUGCUCGAGUGGCGAACGGGUGAGUAACACGUGAGUAACCUGCCCUUGACUUUGGGAUAACUUCAGGAAACUGGGGCUAAUACCGGAUAGGAGCUCCUGCUGCAUGGUGUGGGUUGGAAAGUUUCGGCGGUUGGGGAUGGACUCGCGGCUUAUCAGCUUGUUGGUGGGGUAGUGGCUUACCAAGGCUUUGACGGGUAGCCGGCCUGGGAGGGUGACCGGCAACAUUGGGACUGAGAUACGGCCCAGACUCCUACGGGAGGCAGCAGUGGGGAAUAUUGCAAAAUGGGCGGAAGCCUGAUGCAGCAACGCCGCGUGCGGGAUGACGGCCUUCGGGUUGUAAACCGCUUUCGCCUGUGACGAAGCGUGAGUGACGGUAAUGGGUAAAGAAGCACCGGCUAACUACGUG